This 472-nucleotide ribosomal RNA is filed under the name uncultured bacterium. Its description in RNAcentral is "bacterial SSU rRNA". It matches the Rfam family "Bacterial small subunit ribosomal RNA", at positions 29 to 506 of the family's 1533-position model. The record is from RNAcentral.
AUGAACGCUGGCGGCGUGUCUAAGGCAUGCAAGUCGAACGAGUGCAUUCUUGUAGCAAUACGAGGAUGCGCGAGUGGCAAACGGGUGCGUAACACACUGGUAACCUACCUCGAAGUCGGGCAUAACUCGCCGAAAGGCGAGCUAAUUCCACGAUGGUCAUGGGGGGACGCAUGUCAUUCCCAUGUAAAGUCCAAAAGACGCUUCGAGAGGGGCCUAUGGCCUAUCAGCUUGUUGGCGGGGUAACGGCCCACCAAGGCUAUGACGGGUAGGGGAUGUGAGAGCAUGAUCCCCCUCACUGGAACUGAGACACUGUCCAGACACCUACGGGUGGCUGCAGUCGAGAAUAUUCCCCAAUGGGCGAAAGCCUGAGGGAGCGACGCCGCGUGCAGGAAGAAGGCCUUCGGGUCGUAAACUGCUUUUGCCGAGGACGAAUGUUGACGGUACUCGGAGAAUAAGAGGUUGCUAACUCUGU